AUCAGGUCGCUCAUUUUCUGUUCCUUUAUUCUCUGCAUAUAUGUCCCAAGCUGUAAGGAGCUCUGCAGGAUAGGAGCCUUGCACAAAGUGAGCCGAGUGCAGGCUGAUGAAGCCACUAGUUUUAUUCUUAACUCCUUCACUUAAUAAACUGAGCUCCUUAGAGAUGAUAAUUUCUGGAAGAAUUUCUGCAAAGCUUUUUUGACCUUCUUUAUUAACUUUCUGAUUUCCCUCAAUGGGUAUAAC
This is a non-coding RNA of Pelobates cultripes (western spadefoot toad), 243 nucleotides long. The record is from the annotation of a GenBank genome assembly. Lineage: Eukaryota; Metazoa; Chordata; Amphibia; Anura; Pelobatidae.